AGUCGAACGGAGUCCAUCCGGUGGUAACACCGGUGAAGGAUUAGUGGCGAACGGGUGCGUAACACGUGAGCAACCUGCCCCAAAGGAUGGGAUAACACCGGGAAACCGAUGCUAAUACCGGAUGUCCCCAUUGGAUCGCAUGAUCUGAUGAGGAAAGGAAACCUGCUUUGGGAGGGGCUCGCGGCCUAUCAGCUUGUUGGUGAGGUAACGGCUCACCAAGGCGACGACGGGUAGCUGGUCUGAGAGGACGAUCAGCCACACUGGGGAUGAGACACGGCCCAGGAUCCUACGGGAGGCAGCAGUAGGGAAACCUUGCGCAAUGGGCGAAAGCCUGACGCAGCAACGCCGCGUGGGGGAUGAAUGCCUUCGGGUUGUAAACCCCUUUCAGUGGGAACGAAAUUGACGGUACCCACAGAAGAAGCCCCGGCCAACUACGUGCCAGCAGCCGCGGUGAUACGUAGGGGGCGAGCGUUGUCCGGAUUUAUUGGGCGUAAAGAGCUCGUAGGCGGCUUGGCAAGUCGGCGUGUGAAACCCCCAGGCUUAACCUGGGGACGCCACUCGAAACUGCCAUGGCUAGAGUCCGGCAGGGGAUCACGGAAACUCCUGGUGUAGCGGUGAAAUGCGCAGAUAUCAGGAGGAACACCAGUGGCGAAGGCGGUGAUCUGGGCCGGUACUGACGCUGAGGAGCGAAAGCGUGGGGAGCGAACAGGAUUAGAUACCCUGGUAGUCCACGCCGUA
This 738-nucleotide ribosomal RNA is filed under the name uncultured bacterium. RNAcentral's name for it is "bacterial SSU rRNA". It matches the Rfam family "Bacterial small subunit ribosomal RNA", at positions 60 to 804 of the family's 1533-position model. The record is from RNAcentral.